CUGAACGAAAGAGUUUCACUGGGAAAUCCAGAAUAUAAGAUGAAAGGAAGAGUAAUGGAAGCAAAUUGAAUAUUAGGAAUAUGACUUGUAGCAAGGCUUCCUUGAAUGGCAAGUUCUGGGUGGGUCAGAAUUGUUAGGCGAUGUCUUAAAGAAAGAGACAUGAUAAUGGAAUGUAAGGGUUCACAUGACAAAUGGGAGAAAAGGAGCACAAGGGUAAAGGCAAGAGAAAUCCUCCCAUUAACUCAAGCGCCUCCUUUGUGCAGGGCUGUGCUGAACGCUUGGGAGGACAAAAUUAACCUUGAACAACCCAUGCUGAUUUGUUCUGACUGAAGACAUGUAAGCAGAAGUGAUGAGCUCAUGUUUGGUCAAAUAUGAAGGCCUGAUAUGUGUUCUCUGUGUAUUUUCUCCUGCGAUUAUGCUGCCAUGAAGAGAUGUGUGAUGGACACCUUUCUUGGAUGUGUUGUAUGAACGACAGAAAAAAAAAUUACAGAAGGUAGAAAGCUUUGUUGUGAAUAAACUGAGUUUGCAGAGUUAAUUUGUAACCAUAGCAUAGUCAUCACCCUGGCUAAUAGCACAACUGUUACCAGAAGUGGAAUAUCAUCCAUUGCUAUGAACUAAAUACAUAUGCUCUCCUCCAAAAUUCAUAUGUUAAAACUACCCCCCCACCACCAAAAAAAAAAGAAAGAAAGGAAAUGUUACUCUCCAGUGUCAUAGCUUUAGGAGGUGGGACUUUGGGAACACAGUUAGGCUGAGAUGGGGUCAUGAGAGUGGAGCCCUCAUGAAUGGGAUUAGUGCCCUCGUAAGUGUGAUAAGAGUGCCCGUUCCCUUCUCUGCCAUGUGAGGACACAAUGAGUCAGAAGUCUGUGCCUGGAGGGGCCUCACCAGGCAGAACCCUACCACGCUGGCACAUGGAUCUUAAACUUCAAUCCUCCAACACUGUGAGAGAAAGCUUCUGUCAUUUUCAAGCCAACCAGUCCAGUAUUUUGUUAGAGCAGCCAGACUGACUAAGACGCGCAUCAAACCCCUAAAACAUGUAGCUUCUGUUUCAGUUCCGUUCAGUUCAGUUGCUCAGUCAUGUCCGACUCUUUGCGACCCCAUGGACUACAGCACACCAGGCUUCCCUGUCCAGCAGGAACUACCAGAGCUUGCCGAAACUCAUGGCCGUCGACUGGGUGUUGCUGUUGUUUAGUGACUGGUGAUAUGAAGUGGUGAAACAUGCUGGAGGCUAAAAGCAUGGUGCCCCUGGUUUUGCAGGAACAAAAUGUUUCUAAAACUGUCGUCUGAGGAAGUUUACUGGGUACUAGGCAAUGUGAGUUCUAAGCCAGAAACUCUUGGGAAAGACACUGAAAAACAGAAACUUAGUUUUGCUCUUGCUUUUUGGCAGCUAGAUUUGACAAGGGGUCAAGGAUUUGAGAAAGAAGAUUUCAGAGCAAAUUGGCUGGGAGAAGUAAAGUUGCUUAAAAAAUAGUAUAGAUACAUGGAGCUUUGCAUUGAGGGGAAAGUUGGCUUUGAGACUCCCAAACCAUAGGGGUUGGGACUUCAAGGGGCUUUUAACAUCAAUUUUACCAAUAAGAGCUUUCAAAGCAAAGUGUUUCUUUCUUUCUUUUUUUUAAAAGUGUGAGCUGACUAAAGCCUAUAGCUUUAAUAAAUUAAAAGCUAGAUGCAUAUGCCAAGAAGGUGAGAAAAUAAGCAUUUUAGAGUGU
This 1703-nucleotide long non-coding RNA is filed under the name Ovis aries (sheep). RNAcentral describes it as "lncRNA (ENSOARG00000026205.1)". Lineage: Eukaryota; Metazoa; Chordata; Mammalia; Artiodactyla; Bovidae. The record is from RNAcentral.